UACGGGGGGGGCAAGCGUUGUUCGGAAUUACUGGGCGUAAAGGGCUCGUAGGUGGCCAACUAAGUCAGACGUGAAAUCCCUCGGCUUAACCGGGGAACUGCGUCUGAUACUGGAUGGCUUGAGUUCGGGAGAGGGAUGCGGAAUUCCAGGUGUAGCGGUGAAAUGCGUAGAUAUCAGGAGGAACACCGAUGGCGAAGGCGGGUCUCUGGGCCGAUACUGACGCUGAGGAGCGAAAGCGUGGGGAGCGAACAGG
Molecule: ribosomal RNA, 253 nt
Filed under: uncultured bacterium
Lineage: Bacteria
Description: partial 16S ribosomal RNA
Rfam family: Bacterial small subunit ribosomal RNA
Source: RNAcentral